UAGAAAGUAGUAUAGUGGAAGUACCGGGGGUUUUGAGUUCCCUGGUGCAGGUUCAGAUCCUGUUUUUCUA
Molecule: transfer RNA, 70 nt
Filed under: Plestiodon dicei
Lineage: Eukaryota; Metazoa; Chordata; Lepidosauria; Squamata; Scincidae
Description: tRNA-Gln
Rfam family: tRNA
About the family: Transfer RNA (tRNA) molecules are approximately 80 nucleotides in length.
Source: RNAcentral